UACGGAGGGGGCUAGCGUUGUUCGGAAUGACUGGGCGUAAAGCGCGCGUAGGCGGAUCAUCAAGUCGGGGGUGAAAUCCCGGGGCUCAACCCCGGCACGGCCUUCGAGACUGGUGGUCUUGAGUUCGAGAGAGGUGAGUGGAAUUCCGAGUGUAGAGGUGAAAUUCGUAGAUAUUCGGAGGAACACCAGUGGCGAAGGCGGCUCACUGGCUCGACACUGACGCUGAGGUGCGAAAGCGUGGGGAGCAACAGG
Molecule: ribosomal RNA, 252 nt
Filed under: uncultured bacterium
Lineage: Bacteria
Description: partial 16S ribosomal RNA
Rfam family: Bacterial small subunit ribosomal RNA
Source: RNAcentral